UCCCACUAGGUAGGACGAGCAAGGACCAAUCAGAAGUAUAAUUGCCAGCCUGGUAAUUCGUGGGGAACAGAACUCUUGUGCUGUAUAAGGGCACAGACUUGAAGAAACAACAUGUUGUCCAGCCAUUUCAGCUUGCAGUUAUAUGAUGAAUCAGCAGUUGAAAGUUAUUUUAUCCAGUUCUGCACCUCAAACUAUGUUCUGCUUGGGAAGGUCCCAACGGUGCCCACUGUCAUGUGAAGGAUCAGGAAAAGAAAAUCUAGUUGUUUCCUCAACUCGUAUGGUUCUGGGAGUCCCACUCCAUGCUCAGGCUGCUUCCCGACGGUUGGUCUCUAAGUGGAGACUGAAAUCACUUGGAUUCCUGUGAGAUACCGAGGGGAGAAGGAGCUACUGGAGGGGAAAGUGGCCAAUACUAUAACAUCUGGCACCGCAGUUGCUGGGAAAUAGAAAUCCAACGACUCAGUUCUUCUCAGACAUAAAGUUGUGAUUAACCAGUGUUACUGUGUAUCCCAAUGUGGGUGUUGGACUGGGACCGCUAAUUCUUAUGUGAAGAGAAGAUGAAUUGGAUGAUUUUGUUCCUAAUAAAAAAAGUCAGCCAA
Xenopus laevis (African clawed frog) is the source of this 596-nucleotide long non-coding RNA. RefSeq lists it as uncharacterized. The transcript has 5 exons. Lineage: Eukaryota; Metazoa; Chordata; Amphibia; Anura; Pipidae. The record is from RefSeq and is a predicted model, not a curated record.